ACUCAAAUGAAUAGACGGGGACCCGCACAAGCGGUGGAACAUGUGGUUUAAUUCGAGGCAACGCGAAGAACCUUACCAGGGUUCGACAUGCCCUUUAACGCCCCUCCAAAAGGGGGCUUCGGUUCGGCCGGAAGGGACACAGGUGCUGCAUGGCUGUCGUCAGCUCGUGUCGUGAGAUGUUGGGUUAAGUCCCGCAACGAGCGCAACCCUCAUCCUCUGUUGCUAACAGGUAAUGCUGAGAACUCUGAGGAAACUGCCGGUGAUAAGCCGGAGGAAGGUGGGGAUGACGUCAAGUCCUCAUGGCCCUUACACCCUGGGCUACACACGUGUUACAAUGGCAGUGACAAUGGGCAGCUAACCCGCGAGGGUGCGCGAAUCCCAAAAAGCUGCCUCAGUUUGGAUUGUACUCUGCAACUCGAGUACAUGAAAUUGGAAUCGCUAGUAAUCGUAGAUCAGCACGCUACGGUGAAUACGUUCCCGGGUCUUGUACACACCGCCCGU
This 501-nucleotide ribosomal RNA is filed under the name uncultured bacterium. RNAcentral's name for it is "partial 16S ribosomal RNA". It matches the Rfam family "Bacterial small subunit ribosomal RNA", at positions 899 to 1397 of the family's 1533-position model. The record is from RNAcentral.